This 198-nucleotide small nucleolar RNA is filed under the name Olea europaea subsp. europaea. The stretch from base 2 to 67 matches the Rfam family "Small nucleolar RNA U49". Lineage: Eukaryota; Viridiplantae; Streptophyta; Magnoliopsida; Lamiales; Oleaceae. The record is from RNAcentral.
ACGCCGAUGAGGAAGAAUUCCCAAAGUAUAGGAAGUGCCGUAUGACACUUUAAACAGCAGCAGCUGCACGGCUCCGCCACUUUUCCCAUCCGCCACUGGACAUUUUUGGAUUUGUUCCAAGUUUGUCCACUGGCCGGGACUGUGCGACCUACGCCGUGCUUCUCUGUGUGUGUGAUUUGGAACGGGUCUCUGAGGUUU